Molecule: ribosomal RNA, 1167 nt
Filed under: Triticum aestivum (bread wheat)
Lineage: Eukaryota; Viridiplantae; Streptophyta; Magnoliopsida; Poales; Poaceae
Description: partial small subunit ribosomal RNA
Source: RNAcentral
AUGGCAUCAGCGGGAGGGGGCGGCAUUGACGGCGCAGCGGGGACGACGACCAAGAAGAAGAAGAGAAUCUCCGACUGCCUCGUCGACAGCGACGGCGGGGACGAGGUGGCGGGGGAGGACGCCAUGCCGCCCUCGCCGCCUUCCCCCGGGACGCCGCGGCUGCGCAUCCCGAUGUUCACCUGCGCGCGGCUUCGGUUCGUCAGGCUCGGCAGGAAAGGCGGCGCCGGACGGAAGGAUCAGGUCGCCGCCGAGAAGAGCGAGGCCGCGUCGACCGACUCCUCAGCAGCAGGAUGGAAAGCGGCGAGCAGCGGCGCGUCGUCGACGGAAACGGCCGGCAUGGGGCUGAGCCUGCUGUUCCUCCUCGCCAAGACCUGCGUCGAGCUCAACAAGAUGGCCGAGGUGCGCGCGGAGAUGGAGGUGCUCCUGCGGGAGAUGAGGGACCAGCUGGUGGUCAGGACGACCAAGGUCGCCACGACGACUGAUUCGCCGUGCCAGUGCCAGGCUUCGUCCAGUACGCGCACGGACGGCCAAGACGCCGGCGCCACCUCUUCGUCUUCUCCCGAACCGGCGCGUCGCCGCCAUUUCCGUCGUGAUAGGCGUGCUGGACGGAAACGGAGAGACGGGCCGUUCUACGCCCUGACAGGAAACCCGCUGUUCGACCUCGAGCGAGAGCCGUGUGGCCGCGCUGCCGCCUCCUCGUCUGCCAUGGAGACCGCGAGCGGCGCGAGCGAGACGUCGUCUGAAGUGGAGGACCCAUCGAGCUCCAUGGCCGUGGAUGUCGCUGGGGCGCAGUUGCAGCUCAACUGCCGCACCGAGCAAGGAACACCCGAGUCGUCGUCGGACGGGGAGUCGUUCAUCGAGCUGGACGGGGGAUUCGGAGCCGGAGCCGGUAGAGGCGGGUACAGUGCGAGGCGGUGGCGAGAUUCAGAGGACGGACAGGAGGAGGCGGAGGAGGAGCGCGGCGACGAGGGGGUGCCGGCGCUCGAGCUGGAGAGGCGGCUGCAGGAGCUCCUGCACCGGAGGAGCCGGGAGCGGAUCGAGGAGCUGGAGGCGUCGCUGCGGCACGCGGAGAGGAAGGUGAUGGAGAAGGAGAUGGAGGCGCGGCUGUGGAAGGACACCGCCAAGCUCGCGCUGCAGCCGGGCACGCGCGGCGGUACGGGGCAGUGA